RNAcentral lists this ribosomal RNA (365 nucleotides) under uncultured eukaryote. RNAcentral describes it as "partial 18S ribosomal RNA". It matches the Rfam family "Eukaryotic small subunit ribosomal RNA", at positions 592 to 976 of the family's 1831-position model. The record is from RNAcentral.
CAAUAGCGUAUAUUUAAGUUGUUGCAGUUAAAAAGCUCGUAGUCGGAUUUUGGCUGAGAACGAACGGUCCGCCGUUAGGUGUGCACUGUUUGGUCUCAGCUUCCUGGUGAGGAGGUGUGCUUCACGGCCACUCAGUCACCGUGGUUACUUUGAAAAAAUUAGAGUGUUCAAAGCGGGCUUACGCUUGAAUAUAUUAGCAUGGAAUAACACCAUAGGACUCCUGUCCUAUUUCGUUGGUCUCGGGACGGGAGUAAUGAUUAAGAGGAACAGUUGGGGGCAUUCGUAUUUCAUUGUCAGAGGUGAAAUUCUUGGAUUUAUGAAAGACGAACUUCUGCGAAAGCAUUUACCAAGGAUGUUUUCAUUGA